RNAcentral lists this unclassified non-coding RNA (379 nucleotides) under uncultured Gammaproteobacteria bacterium. RNAcentral describes it as "contains 16S-23S intergenic spacer region". The record is from RNAcentral. Lineage: Bacteria; Pseudomonadati; Pseudomonadota; Gammaproteobacteria.
UCCGGUUCAUCACCAGCAGUCUCCUUAGAGUCCCCACCAUUACAUGUUGGCAACUAAGGAUAAGGGUUGCGCUCGUUACGGGACUUAACCCAACAUCUCACAACACGAGCUGACGACAGCCAUGCAGCACCUGUCUCUAAGUUCCUUGCGGCACAACUGAAUCUCUCCAGUCUUCUUAGGAUGUCAAGGGUAGGUAAGGUUCUUCGCGUUGCAUCGAAUUAAACCACAUGCUCCACCGCUUGUGCGGGCCCCCGUCAAUUUCUUUGAGUUUUAAUCUUGCGACCGUACUCCCCAGGCGGAAAACUUAUCGCGUUAGCUUCGAUACUAAUAGGUCUUAGCCUACCAACAUCUAGUUUUCAUCGUUUACAGCGUGGACUAC